RNAcentral lists this ribosomal RNA (198 nucleotides) under uncultured bacterium. RNAcentral's name for it is "partial 16S ribosomal RNA". It matches the Rfam family "Bacterial small subunit ribosomal RNA", at positions 328 to 539 of the family's 1533-position model. The record is from RNAcentral.
ACGCUCGACACCUACGGGAGGCAGCAGUGGGGAAUAUUGCACAAUGGGGGAAACCCUGAUGCAGCGAUGCCGCGUGAAGGAAGAAGUAUCUCGGUAUGUAAACUUCUAUCAGCAGGGAAGAAAAUGACGGUACCUGACUAAGAAGCCCCGGCUAACUACGUGCUAGCAGCCGCGGUAAUCUGAGCGGGCUGGCAAGGC